Molecule: ribosomal RNA, 362 nt
Filed under: uncultured bacterium
Lineage: Bacteria
Description: bacterial SSU rRNA
Rfam family: Bacterial small subunit ribosomal RNA
Source: RNAcentral
AACGAACGCUGGCGGCAGGCUUAACACAUGCAAGUCGAACGGGUGUAGCAAUACAUCAGUGGCAGACGGGUGAGUAACACGUGGGAACCUUCCUAGAGGUACGGAACAACGCAGGGAAACUUGCGCUAAUACCGUAUACGCUCUUGCGAGGAAAGAUUUAUCGCCUUUAGACGGGCCCGCGUCGGAUUAGCUAGUUGGUAAGGUAACGGCUUACCAAGGCGACGAUCCGUAGCUGAUCUGAGAGGAUGAUCAGCCACACUGGGACUGAGACACGGCCCAGACUCCUACGGGAGGCAGCAGUGGGGAAUCUUGGACAAUGGGCGCAAGCCUGAUCCAGCCAUGCCGCGUGAGUGAAGAAGGCC